ACUGCUCAGUAACACGUGGAUAACCUGCCCUUGGGUCCGGCAUAACCCCGGGAAACUGGGGAUAAUUCCGGAUAACGCACAUAUGCUGGAAUGCUUUAUGCGUAAAAUGGAUUCGUCUGCCCAAGGAUGGGUCUGCGGCCUAUCAGGUAGUAGUGGGUGUAAUGUACCUACUAGCCAACAACGGGUACGGGUUGUGAGAGCAAGAGCCCGGAGAUGGAUUCUGAGACAUGAAUCCAGGCCCUACGGGGCGCAGCAGGCGCGAAAACUUUACAAUGCGGGAAACCGUGAUAAGGGGACACCGAGUGCCAGCGUCAUACGCUGGCUGUCCAGGUGUGUAAAAUACACCUGUUAGCAAGGGCCGGGCAAGACCGGUGCCAGCCGCCGCGGUAACACCGGCGGCCCGAGUGGUGAUCGUGAUUAUUGGGUCUAAAGGGUCCGUAGCCGGUUUGGUCAGUCCUCCGGGAAGUCUGAUAGCUCAACUAUUAGGCUUUCGGGGGAUACUGCCAGACUUGGAACCGGGAGAGGUAAGAGGUACUACAGGGGUAGGAGUGAAAUCUUGUAAUCCCUGUGGGACCACCUGUGGCGAAGGCGUCUUACCAGAACGGGUUCGACGGUGAGGGACGAAAGCUGGGGGCACGAACCGGAUUAGAUACCCGGGUAGUCCCAGCCGUAAACGAUGCUCGCUAGGUGUCAGGCAUGGCGCGACCGUGUCUGGUGCCGCAGGGAAGCCGUGAAGCGAGCCACCUGGGAAGUACGGCCGCAAGGCUGAAACUUAAAGGAAUUGGCGGGGGAGCAC
Molecule: ribosomal RNA, 796 nt
Filed under: uncultured methanogenic archaeon
Lineage: Archaea; Methanobacteriati; Methanobacteriota
Description: bacterial SSU rRNA
Rfam family: Archaeal small subunit ribosomal RNA
Source: RNAcentral